GCCUAUCAAGUCUUGACAAACUCCGAAUGCGUGUCAGUUCUAUGUCAGGAGUGAGGGCAUGGGUGCUAAGGUCCAUGUCCUAAAGGAGAACAAUCCGGACCAACAGCUAAGGUCCCGAAAUGAAUACUAAGUUGAACUAACGAAGUCAGAUUGCUAAGACAGCUAGGAUGUUGGCUUGGAAGCAGCCAUUCAUUUAAAGAGUGCGUAACAGCUCACUAGUCGAGGAGUUUGGC
This 233-nucleotide non-coding RNA is filed under the name Bacteroides stercoris. RNAcentral's name for it is "Bacterial large subunit ribosomal RNA". It matches the Rfam family "Bacterial large subunit ribosomal RNA", at positions 934 to 1162 of the family's 2925-position model. The record is from Rfam by way of RNAcentral. Lineage: Bacteria; Pseudomonadati; Bacteroidota; Bacteroidia; Bacteroidales; Bacteroidaceae.